This 356-nucleotide ribosomal RNA is filed under the name Septaria porcellana. RNAcentral's name for it is "partial 16S ribosomal RNA". It matches the Rfam family "Bacterial large subunit ribosomal RNA", at positions 1956 to 2521 of the family's 2925-position model. The record is from RNAcentral. Lineage: Eukaryota; Metazoa; Mollusca; Gastropoda; Cycloneritida; Neritidae.
AUAAUCAUUUGCCUUUUAAUUGAAGGCUAGUAUGAAUGGUUUGACGAGAGUAAAGCUGUCUCACAUGUACCUAAUAAAAAUUAAUUUAAAGGUGCAAAAGCCUUUAUUAACCAAAAAGACGAGAAGACCCUGUUGAGCUUUAAUUUAAAUUGAGUAUUAAUUAUAUAUUCAUAAAAUUUACUUACUCAACUAAAAUUUUAAUUGGGGCGAUUAAGGAACAUACAAAAGCUUCCUGAUUAUUAUUAUACAAUAUUCUAUGAAUUAAAUCGAUCCAGCAAUGCUGAUCAACAGAAUGAGUUACCACAGGGAUAACAGCAUAAUUCUUUUUGAGAGCUCAUAUCGAAAAAAGAGAUUGU